Ipomoea nil (Japanese morning glory) is the source of this 1807-nucleotide RNA transcript. It is a transcript of the gene named protein ABHD11, with no coding region annotated. The record is from RefSeq and is a predicted model, not a curated record. The transcript is spliced from 15 exons. NCBI's taxonomy places the organism in Eukaryota, Viridiplantae, Streptophyta, Magnoliopsida, Solanales, Convolvulaceae.
UGGGCAACUCCGUCAUUUCCAGUGUUCCGCAAUCCGCAUAGCCUCUAGGCUCUACCACCGUCAUGUCUGGGCGGACAAAAACGCGGUGAGGGACUUGAAAGACAGGAGCACACCACGCAAGCCUUGCUUUCUCCGCCGCCACCCUCUUUGGAACAAUCUUUCUUUUUCUUCCACAACUCCCUGCAAUUGCAUUCCCUAUUUUUUCCAAACUUUUCUACUUUCGCUCUAAAUUUGCUCUGGAAAUCUCUCUAUUGUUUAGUUAAUUUUCAAUAGAGAUAUAGGUUCUGUACAUCGAGGUGAUCUUCGGAGGAAAUGUCGGCCAUAUCAAACUUUACGGCUGGCCGGCACGCCUUGACCGGAGCUGCAUUGCGAGAGAGCUUGCCGAUAGUUGGUUCGGAGAAGCACAGUAGGUUGAAAAUGAGAAUUUCAAGAUCUUUGGACAAGGCAGCUCUUCGCCAUUCUAAUGGUUCAAGUAUCCGGAUGACAUUGGUAGAUGAGAGACUUGCACACAGAAAAGUUGUGAUGCCAUCUGAAGUUUUGGCAUAUGAACUCGUUCAAGGAGCCAAAGUGAGAUGGAGUUAUAUCAUGGAUAAAUCCUUGCCUGAACCACCUACUGCAGUCCUUUUGCACGGUAUUUUGGGCAGCAGGAAAAAUUGGGGAAGCUUUGCUCGGAGAUUAGCCAAAGAAUUUCCAAAAUGGCAGUUUCUCUUGGUAGACUUGUGGUGCCAUGGUGAUUCGACAUCAAUCAAGAAGAAGGGGCCUCAUACUGUAGCUUCAGCUGCCCUGGAUGUCUUAAAACUACUUGGGCAUCUCAGGCUCACUCCCAGAGUUGUCGUUGGUCACAGUUUUGGAGGAAAAGUUGCUUUGAGCAUGGUUGAUCAGGUUGCUAAACCACUUGCACGGCCUGUCAGAGUUUGGGUUCUGGAUGCAACUCCAGGAAAAGUAAGAGCUGGUGGAGAUGGAGAUGAUCACCCAGCUGAACUAAUUACUUUUCUAAGUGCACUGCCAAAAGAGGUCUCUUCAAAACGGGAUGUUGCGGAGGCUCUUACUAAGCAGGGUUUUUCCAAAGAUGUGGCACAGUGGGUGGUAACUAACCUCCGACAGACCAACCCUUCUGGUACAUCCCCAGCAAGCUUCUCGUGGGUGUUUGAUCUUAAGGGAAUUGCUGAGAUGUAUCAAUCAUAUGAAGAAACAAAUAUGUGGAAAAUAGUGGAAGAUGUACCCCGAGGUGUACAUGUCAGCUUCUUGAAGGCAGAAAGGAGUUUGCAUCGGUGGGCACUUGAGGAUAUUCGGAGGAUUCAUUCUGCCGAGGAGCAAGCUUCCAAGGAGGGAGGUGGAGUAGAGAUGCAUGUCUUAGAAGAUGCCGGGCACUGGCAUUUCUAUAACAAACAAAAUUGAAACUGAGUCUAGAUCUGCCUCACCUCUGCAAUAUCAAUUUGACUUGCACAAAUUGGUAACAAGAAGAGAGAAAACUAACAAGCCACUGACCACUGUUGAUGUUAUUGCCCUGGUGCACGCGGAUAACCCAGACGGAUUAUUCAAGAUUCUUUCAUUCUCGUUCCAUGGAUUUUAAAGUUGGAAUACAUUGACAUUGAUGGUCCUGCAGAUUAGGAAAAUUACCUGAGCCCGCAAACAUCAUUGACCUCUUUUUCCAGUGUGGUAAGUGUAUCAUUUUUUACAAAUUUUGUAUGAGGGCAAUGUGUAAAACCAAUAUUCAUUCAGGCAUGAGAUUUGUACAUUUAUUUUUUUUUCUAGAAAUUGUAAAUCGAAUAAGAUGUAUUCUAAGAGUUAUGAUCAUUUAUUUCAU